Molecule: ribosomal RNA, 366 nt
Filed under: Triticum aestivum (bread wheat)
Lineage: Eukaryota; Viridiplantae; Streptophyta; Magnoliopsida; Poales; Poaceae
Description: partial small subunit ribosomal RNA
Source: RNAcentral
AUGAAACGGGGAGUCGAACACCCAAUCACCGUCGCCGGCAGCUGCAAGGCAGAGCACCAGACGAGAGUUGACGAAACAAAGGCGCCGAAAACCCCGGAGAAGGCCAAGAGGAUACAGAACCAUGCAUCGGUCAAGGAUAUGAGUCUCCAUAGCCCAUGGCAUAUCACUGGCACCAAGAAUGGGAUCCCGAUCCCCUCGCAUCAGCGGCUGAAGCCCUCCACACCUGUACCCGAGCAAGCUGCCAAAGAUGAGAUCAGACCAAAACAAUCCACUGUCGAACCACCACCAACUCCACCACCACUUGAGCACUUCCCUGACGACGCCUUCAAGAAGGGUCACACUACCCAGGUGCCGUCGUCGCCAUGA